GGAUUAGAUACCCGGGUAGUCCCAGCUGUAAACUAUGCAAACUCAGUGAUGCAUUGACUUGUGGUCAAUGCAGUGCUGCAGGGAAGCCGUUAAGUUUGCCGCCUGGGAAGUACGUACGCAAGUAUGAAACUUAAAGGAAUUGGCGGGGGAGCAUCACAAGGGGUGAAGCCUGCGGUUUAAUUGGACUCAAC
RNAcentral lists this ribosomal RNA (191 nucleotides) under uncultured archaeon. RNAcentral describes it as "partial 16S ribosomal RNA". It matches the Rfam family "Archaeal small subunit ribosomal RNA", at positions 726 to 916 of the family's 1478-position model. The record is from RNAcentral.